This 405-nucleotide ribosomal RNA is filed under the name uncultured bacterium. Its description in RNAcentral is "bacterial SSU rRNA". It matches the Rfam family "Bacterial small subunit ribosomal RNA", at positions 355 to 774 of the family's 1533-position model. The record is from RNAcentral.
UGGGGAAUAUUGGGCAAUGGGCGAAAGCCUGACCCAGCAACGCCGCGUGAUUGAAGAAGGUCUUCGGAUUGUAAAGAUCUGUCCUAUGGGAAGAAACAAAUGACGGUACCAUAGGAGGAAGCCCCGGCUAACUACGUGCCAGCAGCCGCGGUAAUACGUAGGGGGCGAGCGUUGUCCGGAAUUACUGGGCGUAAAGGGUGCGCAGGCGGCGCUUUAAGUCAGAUGUGAAAUACCCGGGCUUAACCUGGGGGGUGCAUCUGAUACUGGAGCGCUUGAGUGCAGGAGAGGAAAGUGGAAUUCCUAGUGUAGCGGUGAAAUGCGUAGAUAUUAGGAGGAACACCAGUGGCGAAGGCGACUUUCUGGACUGUAACUGACGCUGAGGCACGAAAGCGUGGGGAGCAAACA